This 1059-nucleotide ribosomal RNA is filed under the name Triticum aestivum (bread wheat). RNAcentral's name for it is "partial small subunit ribosomal RNA". Lineage: Eukaryota; Viridiplantae; Streptophyta; Magnoliopsida; Poales; Poaceae. The record is from RNAcentral.
AUGCGCCACGGCACCGCCUCCCACCUUCGGCGAUGCCCCACGGCCCUGCCUCCCAUCUCCGGCGACGCGCCAUCCCUGAACCCCGCCUCCCAUCUCCUUCGACGCGCCGUCCUGAACCCUGCCUCCUCUCUCGCGUCGCCCCCAUUGGCCCCCGAGCGCGGCCGUCCCUCCCACGGAGCCAAGCUCACGGCCGUCACUUCCACCACGCCGAGCUCGCACUCCAUCGCCGCUGGCGCCCCCAACCUCGCGUCAUCCAUGACCCCUCCAUUACACUCCUAUUCUGCAGGAACAUGUCAGUUCGUGUGGAGCAUAACAGUCCGUCAGUUCGUCGGUGGGAUUCGCAGGAUCCGCAGGGGAGUUAAGCUCUACGACCACUUGGAUGUGGAUGCUCAUGCUCCUCCACUGGGCGAGCUCCAAGGGCACCACGGGCUUGAGAUUGUCAUCUCUACCCUCGGCCGCGAGGGCCAAGAGGCUGCCUGCACCCUGCUAAAUGAAAUGCUACUUCCGACCACCAGCUCGCCUGAUGCCCGUUAUUGGUUUCCUCUUGAGCAGAUGAACCACAUUGUCACAUUAAACUACGGGGACAUGUUCCCUCAGUCCUCUCUCGACAAAUCCAACAGUACAGGUUCUCCGUCCAAGAAGGAUUGGCCGGUGCUGCCGGCUGGCGUCAAGUUCGAUCCCACGGAUCAGGAGCUGAUCGAGCACCUUGAGGCCAAAGUGAGUGCUGACAGCGCGAGAUCUCACCCUCUCAUCGAUUUGUUCAUACCAACCAUCGACAGUGAGCACGACAUAUGCUACACCCAUCCUGAGAAACUUCCAGGUAUCACACUGAGUGGCCUAAGCAAGCAUUUCUUCCAGUGCAACUCCAGGGCGUUCAAAAGGGGCACGUGGACGCGUCGCAAGAUACAGUCGGAGUGGGGCAUGCACACGAUGUGGCACAAGACCGGCAAUACCUUGCCGGUGAUGGUCAGUGGCCAACAGACGGGCAGCAAAAAGGUUCUGGUGCUGCACAACAAUAAGAACUUCGACCAGCUGAGGACCAAUUGGGUGAUGCACUAG